Molecule: transfer RNA, 79 nt
Filed under: Ictidomys tridecemlineatus (thirteen-lined ground squirrel)
Lineage: Eukaryota; Metazoa; Chordata; Mammalia; Rodentia; Sciuridae
Description: Spermophilus tridecemlineatus (thirteen-lined ground squirrel) tRNA
Rfam family: tRNA
About the family: Transfer RNA (tRNA) molecules are approximately 80 nucleotides in length. Their secondary structure includes four short double-helical elements and three loops (D, anti-codon, and T loops).
Source: Rfam by way of RNAcentral
GGGAAUAUAGCUCAGUUGGUAGGGUGCUUGUCUAGCAUGCACAAGGCCCUGGCCCUGGGUUCAAUCCCCAGCACUACCA